Molecule: long non-coding RNA, 4259 nt
Organism: Amphiprion ocellaris (clown anemonefish)
Lineage: Eukaryota; Metazoa; Chordata; Actinopteri; Pomacentridae
Exons: 4
Source: RefSeq, a predicted model, not a curated record
ACUUUCAGUGCAUCUGCGCUGCAUAAAACUCAGCUCACAGCCUCAACGUCCUCCCUCCAACAGUAAACAACUGUCAGGGUCUAACUUCAGCACAGUGGGGUUCUGUAGAUUGGAAAAUCUUCACUGAUUGGAUUUAUGUUUCUCCUGUUUUUAAUGAAAUGCUGUUUUUUCUCCUCUCUCAGCACCAGGGGAAUCUCCAGGCUUCUGAUUCUGAUUCCUGCUGCGACAAACCACAUCUGACCCCGGAGAAGGGAGGCAGGGGUCAAACAUGACAGGGGAUUUGAAGGGGCGGAUCAGGACUGGAAGACUUGGGCCAGCCGGGGAAUAAUCCUCCACAAGAAACCACUCCUGGAGCGCACUUGAAGUGUCCUUGAGCUCUUACUGAGGAUGAUUGCAUGUGCAGCUCAACUCAUCAUGAAGCCAUCAGAGAACAUCUACAUCCUGAGUGGCAGCCUCAGUAUUAUGUAAGCACUAAGGGGCUUGAGGAGGAAGGAUUCGUUCUGAUCCUCCAGCUCAAACGGUUCAGGUUCACCACGACCUUCAGGCUGGAGAAGGUAAACACCUCUAUUGAACUAACAAGGGAGCUUGUGGUGAACCCAGAAAACUCCCUCACUGCACAGGACUCAGGAAGAUGGAAAGCGAUGCGGGUGUUGUGACGGCUGCGCCAGCAGUUAAACCACAUGAAUGUUGGAGAAUGUUGUCACAUGAACAUGAUUUAAAAACACUGUUUGUGUUCUCCCUGUAAUGUUUCUAUAUGUGUUGAUCUGUUAUCUGGUCCAUUGACAUGAUAACGUCACACAGCUGAACAUCCAUGAUGCCAAUCUCCCGUUCCACCACAUCCCAAAGGCUCUAUUGAAUUUAGAUCUGGUGACUGUGGAGGCCGUUGGAGUACAAUGAACUCAUUGUCAUGUCCAAGAAACCAGUCUGAGAUGAUUUGAGCUUUGUGACGUGGAGCAUUAUCAUGUUGGAAGUAGCAUCAGAUGAUGGUCCACUGUGGUCAUGAAGGGAUGGACAUGGUUAGCAACAAUCUGAAUGUCAAGGCUGAAAUGGAGGCUCAUCAGACCAGGCAACGUUUUUAAAAUCUUCUAUUGUCCAAUUUUGGUGAGCCUGUGUGAAUUGUAGCCUCAGUUUCCUGUUCUUAGCUGACAGAAGUGACACCUGGUGUGGUCUUCUGCUGCUGUAGUCCAUCUUCUUCAAGGUUGGACGUGUUGUGGUUCAGAGAUGGUGUUCUGCAUUCCUUGGUUGUAACCAGUGGUUAUUUGAGUUCCUGUUGUCUUUCUACCAUCUCCAACCAGUCUGUCCAUUCUCCUCUGACCUCUCAUAUCAACAAGGCAUUUUCAUCCACAAAAUUGCCGCUCACUGGAUGUUUUCUCUUUUUUGACCGCUCCCUGUAAACCCUACAGGUGGUUGUGUGUGAAAAUCCCAGUAGAUCAGCAGUUUGUGAAAUACUACACCAACAACCAGAAUACACCAACAACUAUGCCACAUUCAAAGUCACUUAAAUCCUCCUUUUUCCCCGUUCUGAUGCUCAGUUUGAACUCCAGCAAGUUGUCUUGACCACAUCUACAUGAAUAAAUGCAUUGAGUUGCAGCCAUGUGAUUGACUGAUUAACUAUUUGUGUUAACAGGCAAUUGAACAGGUGUACCUAAUAAAGUGACCGGUGAGUGUAUGUACACACAAGAAUGCACACACAAACAAAAACAAAAACACAUACUCUGUAAAGUCUACUUAUGUGAAGUGUGAAACCGUUGGCGAAAUUUUACACACUUUAAGACUAAAAGAGGGUUAGUGAGAAUUAGCUAACAGUGAUUGGGUUAUGUAAGAUCAAAAGUCCAGUAAAGAGGAAGUAAACAUAGAAAAACACACACUCUAACAAAGUGAACUUCAUUUGUGGAGCUGGACUUUAUAUCCAGAACAUCCAGAGUCCUAAAACCUAAUGAGAAUCAUAUGUGUAACUGUGGUAAUUUAAAGAAGGUUUCAGCGUACAGUAGCAAAUUCCUGUCAUUCACUCGUUAUUAGAACAGUUUUAAAACUCCUUUCUUCUUCUCCAGUUUCACACAUUACACUGGGCUGAAUGGAUAAUCCGUUAAAAAUGUCUCGUAGCUUUUACCAGGCAGCCAGAACCUUUGUGUUUGCUGGAUGAGAAACUCAGAAUUAAUCCUCAUUACACAAUAGAGGACAAGCUGUUUGGUUGUUUGGUGAGUUUAAAUACUACAACAUGUGUGAGCAUUUGUCAUGUGAAGGCCCUCUACGGGGCUUUAAAUGCACCGCUUUCAUGUAACGCUGCUCAAAACAGUUCAGCUGUGUUUGAAGUUCUGAGGUCAAAAGGAAAAUGUUACCUAAAGGACUAAGCUAAUGCUACCAUCAGUCCAAAACGACACAUGAACAGAUCCACUCCAACUUUUAGAUAGACAGAUAAUAUGGUGCUGAUAUUUAAGAUGGCAUAAUAACUAACAUUAAUAAAACACACAUUUUAAAUCUUGUAAGACAACAUAGAAUCUAUAGUAAUGCAUUGAAGAAAACUCUGAUCAAGUGAGAAUUUCUUAUGAAAUUCUCGCUUGGCCAGUAACAUGACAUUAACACACAUUUGCUAAUGGUUUUACAAGUGAAAACCCCCAUCUGGUUGUUGAUUAAACCCCUAAUACUCAUCUCCGUGUAUCAGUUACAUAUUUAGAAGUUUAUUUUUACAGACUGUAUAUAAAUGAUGGACAGAGACUCCAUGCCUUAAACCUGCAUUUUGUCUAACAGCUAGCAGGUGGCGACUCCUCUGGUGCUAAAACAAGUCAUACUGUACAGACUUCUAUGAAAAAUAUGAAAAAAAAAAUGACUCUACUUUUCACUAGAUUAGAUCCUAAUGAGUUUAUGGUCUCAAUCACAAGGUUCAAGUCUCCUUCAAGAUGGCAUGAUGUUCAUUUAGUAAAUUAUGGUCCCAUUUAGGACAAAAUAGACGAUGGAGUAGGAUAUUCUUUAGGCCGGGUCUACUUUGUGAUUAAUGGUACAUAAUGUCCUCAGGUUCUCCAGUCAGAUAUACUGCUCAAUCCAUAUGUCCACGUUAAAAAGACUGAGAUAUCAAUGGCCAAAUUCCAAAAUAGUGCACAGACCAAUGGAUGAUGUCAUGGUGUCCAUCUCCAGAAGUUUACAACAAUCAGCUUCCUUACAUCUGAGAAGUUGUUGGACAUCUCACAUCUAACAACUUCACUGGCUCCCAAUCACACACCGCAUCAUCUGUAAAACCAUGCUGCUAACCUUCAAGGUCCUCCAUAACCUCACUGAACUCCUCCACAUAAACACACCCAGCUGGACUCUCAGAUCAUCUUCCUCCCUCAACCUCACCAUCCCUCCUGCCCUUACGACCACCAUGGGCUCCAGAGCCUUCAGCUGCUCUGCAGUCCGCCUCUGAAACUCUCUCCCACCUGACAUCCGAAACAUUGACACACUGGACAUGUUCAUAUCCCAUCUCAGAAGCCACUUGUUCAAACAAACCUACUCACUCUGACUUCCAUUCCUCUUUUUUUCCGUUAUUUAAAAUGGCUAAAUGUCCUUCUUUUUCCUUCCUCUUAAGUUUUGUGUUGUUAAUGUGAAUGCGUUUUAACUUUGUACAGUAUCCUUGGGUGUUUUAAAUCAAAUGUAUUAUUAUUAUUGUUAUCUGUUACUAUAUGAAACCCAGAAAGUCUGUGUGUGUAAUUUUGAGGCUGUCAUUGGUUCACUGCAGUUCAAGGUGGAAGUGUUCAGUUUAUUUCGCUAAUGAUAAUUCUAUCACAUAAAAAACACCAUAUGGGCAUGUAAACAAGAUAAAACAACUUGACGUUCCCUUGAGGGGAUCCUUAAACGCAGUCCUACAUUAAUUUAUAAGUUGUAUGGAAAACUUAGACACUCGUUUCCACUGCGCCUGUGUAAUACUGAUGCUCCAACGGAUAAUAUUUCAACAAAGAUGAAACAUGGUUGAAUGUAACUCUUCACUUUUAUCGUUGCUGAAUUAUUUUUAGGAAAGAUAAUACAAUAUAUUUGUCUCCCCAUGAGGACAGUUUCAGUGGCAAUACGGAUUACGUUUGUACAUUUCUGAGGACUGGUAGAGAAAACCUGGAAACUGCGCUUGCUUGCAAUGAGUCAAUGAAUCCUCUAGAGGGCAAUAUGUGACUAAAGCCUCCAAUCAGUGGUUCCCACACUGGCCUCUGGCUUCAUUACAUGUGUGCUUGUUGGUACUGUGUUAUGUAUUCUUUUUGUUUAGGAUUAUACAAUUUCAAAUUAUAUACAUUAAU